UGUGUUUGUGUUUGUGUUUGUGUUUGUGUUUGUGUUCACCCUGCAGCCGCACCAGUCACAGAACCUGGCGUCACUUUGGUUUAAACGUUUACACCUGGAGCAGGACAACAUCCUGCCCUGUCCUGAGGGAACGGAGGAGGCAGUCUCUGCUCAGGUAAUGGAGGAACCACAGCUCCACACUGAGAACAGAACCGAGCGAAGGGGUCUGAAGGACGGAGACUGUGACACUGAGAACACCUGAGCAGACAAACAGAUACUGACGUGACAUCACUUAUCAGGAAGUGUUACCUGGACACAGCCACGGCUCUGACCGACACUCGCCCAGCAGGAAGCAGGAUGGGCUGCUUGUACCUGUGGCUGCAGCCGCCGCCGCCCUCCAU
Molecule: long non-coding RNA, 380 nt
Organism: Cynoglossus semilaevis (tongue sole)
Lineage: Eukaryota; Metazoa; Chordata; Actinopteri; Pleuronectiformes; Cynoglossidae
Exons: 3
Source: RefSeq, a predicted model, not a curated record